Camelus ferus (Wild Bactrian camel) is the source of this 72-nucleotide transfer RNA. It matches the Rfam family "tRNA". From Rfam's summary of the family: Transfer RNA (tRNA) molecules are approximately 80 nucleotides in length. The record is from Rfam. NCBI's taxonomy places the organism in Eukaryota, Metazoa, Chordata, Mammalia, Artiodactyla, Camelidae.
GAGGGUAUAGCUCAAUUGUAGAGUGUGUGCUUAGCAUGCACAAGAUCCUGGGUUCAACCCCCAGUACCUCCA